GAUGAAGAACGUAGCGAAAUGCGAUAAGUAAUGUGAAUUGCAGAAUUCAGUGAAUCAUCGAAUCUUUGAACGCACAUUGCGCCCCCUGGUAUUCCGGGGGGCAUGCCUGUCCGAGCGUCAUUACAACCCUCAAGCUCAGCUUGGUGUUGGGCCCCGCCGCCCCGGCGGGCCCUAAAGUCAGUGGCGGUGCCGUCCGGCUCCGAGCGUAGUAAUUCUUCUCGCUCUGGAGGUCCGGUCGUGUGCUCGCCAGCAACCCCCAAUUUUUUUCUAGGUUGACCUCGGAUCAGGUAGGGAUACCCGCUGAACUUAAGCAUAUCAAUAAGCGGAGGA
Molecule: unclassified non-coding RNA, 330 nt
Filed under: soil metagenome
Description: partial contains 5.8S ribosomal RNA, internal transcribed spacer 2, and large subunit ribosomal RNA
Rfam family: 5.8S ribosomal RNA (bases 1-120)
Source: RNAcentral